Molecule: long non-coding RNA, 244 nt
Filed under: Vigna radiata
Lineage: Eukaryota; Viridiplantae; Streptophyta; Magnoliopsida; Fabales; Fabaceae
Description: long non-coding RNA (VRAD_LNC003405)
Source: RNAcentral
GCUGAGCGAUACUAUUAAAAUGAAGCGACCCUGAAAAAGUAUUGAAAUCCUCCAGAGUGCGUCUAGCUUUCCCAUCACCAUCACCAUUCCUAUUUUCAGCCAUUUGUUCCACUUCCUGCUCAGCUGUAGGCAAAAUAGGUUGCUCAAGAGUCACAAGAGCGGGAGAAGUUUCUCUAGAUGCCCGAUUCUCUCUUCUUCUUCUACUGUUGUUUCNUCGGGCAGUCUUUUCAACUUCGGGAUCUAA